GUGAAGAACGCAGCGAAAUGCGAUAAGUAAUGUGAAUUGCAGAAUUCAGUGAAUCAUCGAAUCUUUGAACGCACCUUGCGCUCUUUGGUAUUCCGAAGAGCAUGCCUGUUUGAGUGUCAUGAAAAUAUCAACCUUGACUUGGGUUUUGUGCUCUAGUCUCGGCUUGGAAUUGGGUGCUUGCCGCUUUUACGAGCGGCUCACCUUAAAUGUAUUAGCUGGAUCUGUCUUUGAGACUUGGUUUGACUUGGCGUAAUAAGUAUUUCGCUAAGGACAUUCUUCGGAGUGGCCUCGUUUCUAGGACGCUUGUCCGCUUUCCAAUACAAGUUCCACCUCGUGGACAUGACUUUUUAUUAUCUGGCCUCAAAUCAGGUAGGACUACCCGCUGAACUUAAGCAUAUCAAUAAGCGGAGGA
Molecule: unclassified non-coding RNA, 412 nt
Filed under: soil metagenome
Description: partial contains 5.8S ribosomal RNA, internal transcribed spacer 2, and large subunit ribosomal RNA
Rfam family: 5.8S ribosomal RNA (bases 2-119)
Source: RNAcentral